UCCAGUUUGUAUUCAGGAGACAGACACUAUCUCUACUUUCAAGAUUAGGCUUAAAACUUUCCUUUUUGCUAAAGCAUAUAGUUAGGGCUGGACCAGGUGACCCUGAAUCCUCCCUUAGUUAUGCCUCAAUAGACAUACGCUGUGAGGGGAUUCCCAUGAUGCGUUUGAGUUUUUCAUUUCUAGUCACCUUUCUCACUCACUAUGUGUUAAUAGACCUCUCUGCAUUGAAUCAUAUCUGUUAUUAAUCUCUGUCUCUCUUCCACAGCAUGUCUUUAUCCUGUUUUCCUUCUCUCAGUCCAACCGGUCGCAGCAGAUGGCCCCGCCCCUCCCUGAGCCUGGUUCUGCCGGAGGUUUCUUCCUGUUAAAAGGGAAGUUUAAAUCCCGGAGGACAAUGUCCACAGCAAAGAAUAAACAGGGCAAACAACACAAAUAUAAAGUCUCAUGGGCGCACACCACUAACAGCACAAGGAAGAACGAAAUCCACAUGGAGAAUGUGUUGCCUCAUCACUUUACACUCAACUUAUCACAGACACACUGAGGCACCAGGAGACCAGAACCUAAACCCAGGAUAAAGAGUUUGAGUGAAUGUGGUGUUGAAGGUGUGGAGGUGGAUCAGAGUGUCAGAGGAGACUCUGUAGAAGGACAGAGUGCCAGCAGGACAGUCCA
This is a long non-coding RNA of Oreochromis niloticus (Nile tilapia), 666 nucleotides long. RefSeq lists it as uncharacterized. Lineage: Eukaryota; Metazoa; Chordata; Actinopteri; Cichliformes; Cichlidae. The transcript is spliced from 2 exons. The record is from RefSeq and is a predicted model, not a curated record.